CCGCACGUUUUUUUCUCCGGGGCAUGCUUGGUGAUAGAUGGAAAUGACUUAUUCCUAUCGUUAAAAGAUAUAGGUCCUGGUUAGCCCUGACCAUUAUCCGAUCGCUAAGACGCUUGCACACUCCCUCAAAGCUCCAUACAGGGGCCUGGUAUAGCCAUCCACCAUUAGCCGUGUCCAAUUCCCCUUCAAACUGCCUGGCUCUCUUGCACGGUCCAUCAAAACUCCGUAAGUUUUCACUCCAGGGGUAUAUAAUCCUUCGGGCCUUUAGGUCCUGUGUAUGUCUCAAGGAUAGCCGCGGCCAGCGCUUUAACUGUUCACGAUUUUGGAAAAGACUGUCCAGCUUAUUCAUAAGUGUUAUGAAAAUUGGAUAAUCCACCCAUUUAAAACUAAACACAGGAAUAAAAAAGUUUACAUAUUUGCAUGCUGGGG
Molecule: non-coding RNA, 429 nt
Organism: Salvelinus sp. IW2-2015
Lineage: Eukaryota; Metazoa; Chordata; Actinopteri; Salmoniformes; Salmonidae
Source: RefSeq, a predicted model, not a curated record